RNAcentral lists this ribosomal RNA (490 nucleotides) under uncultured bacterium. RNAcentral's name for it is "partial 16S ribosomal RNA". It matches the Rfam family "Bacterial small subunit ribosomal RNA", at positions 28 to 507 of the family's 1533-position model. The record is from RNAcentral.
GAUGAACGCUAGCUACAGGCUUAACACAUGCAAGUCGAGGGGCAGCGGGAUUGAAGCUUGCUUCAAUUGCCGGCGACCGGCGCACGGGUGAGUAACGCGUAUCCAACCUUCCGUACACUCAGGGAUAGCCUUUCGAAAGAAAGAUUAAUACCUGAUGGUAUGAUGAGAUUGCAUGAUAUCAUCAUUAAAGAUUUAUCGGUGUACGAUGGGGAUGCGUUCCAUUAGGUAGUAGGCAGGGUAACGGCCCACCUAGCCAACGAUGGAUAGGGGUUCUGAGAGGAAGGUCCCCCACAUUGGAACUGAGACACGGUCCAAACUCCUACGGGGGGCAGCAGUGAGGAAUAUUGGUCAAUGGACGAGAGUCUGAACCAGCCAAGUAGCGUGAAGGAUGAAGGUCCUACGGAUUGUAAACUUCUUUUAUAAGGGAAUAAACCCUCCCACGUGUGGGAGCUUGUAUGUACCUUAUGAAUAAGCAUCGGCUAACUCCGUG